This 280-nucleotide unclassified non-coding RNA is filed under the name uncultured Piloderma. RNAcentral describes it as "partial contains 5.8S ribosomal RNA, internal transcribed spacer 2, and large subunit ribosomal RNA". The stretch from base 1 to 52 matches the Rfam family "5.8S ribosomal RNA", at positions 103 to 154 of the family's 154-position model. Lineage: Eukaryota; Fungi; Basidiomycota; Agaricomycetes; Atheliales; Atheliaceae. The record is from RNAcentral.
AACGCACCUUGCGCUCCUUGGUAUUCCGAGGAGCAUGCCUGUUUGAGUGUCAUUAAAUUCUCAACUCCGAUCGAUUUGUUUCGACUUCGGAGCUUGGAUUUGGAGCGUGCUGGCGUCGGUCGGCUCCUCUUAAACGCAUCAGCGGAAUCUAACGUUUUGGAUGUCAGUGUGAUAAUCAUGUUGCGCUGUCCUCCGAUCCGAAAGCCCGCUCACAAUGGUCUUCGGACGACUUCAUAUCAAAUUUGACCUCAAAUCAGGUAGGACUACCCGCUGAACUUAA